CAGGAUUAGAUACCCUGGUAGUCCACGCCGUAAACGAUGUCGAUUUGGAGGUUGUGCCCUUGAGGCGUGGCUUCCGGAGCUAACGCGUUAAAUCGACCGCCUGGGGAGUACGGCCGCAAGGUUAAAACUCAAAUGAAUUGACGGGGGCCCGCACAAGCGGUGGAGCAUGUGGUUUAAUUCGAUGCAACGCGAAGAACCUUACCUGGUCUUGACAUCCACAGAACUUUCCAGAGAUGGAUUGGUGCCUUCGGGAACUGUGAGACAGGUGCUGCAUGGCUGUCGUCAGCUCGUGUUGUGAAAUGUUGGGUUAAGUCCCGCAACGAGCGCAACCC
This 332-nucleotide ribosomal RNA is filed under the name Klebsiella pneumoniae. Its description in RNAcentral is "bacterial SSU rRNA". It matches the Rfam family "Bacterial small subunit ribosomal RNA", at positions 773 to 1104 of the family's 1533-position model. The record is from RNAcentral. Lineage: Bacteria; Pseudomonadati; Pseudomonadota; Gammaproteobacteria; Enterobacterales; Enterobacteriaceae.